This 549-nucleotide ribosomal RNA is filed under the name Meyerozyma guilliermondii. RNAcentral describes it as "eukaryotic LSU rRNA". It matches the Rfam family "Eukaryotic large subunit ribosomal RNA", at positions 68 to 633 of the family's 3401-position model. Lineage: Eukaryota; Fungi; Ascomycota; Pichiomycetes; Serinales; Debaryomycetaceae. The record is from RNAcentral.
ACAGGGAUUGCCUUAGUAGCGGCGAGUGAAGCGGCAAAAGCUCAAAUUUGAAAUCUGGCACCUUCGGUGUCCGAGUUGUAAUUUGAAGAUUGUAACCUUGGGGUUGGCUCUUGUCUAUGUUUCUUGGAACAGGACGUCACAGAGGGUGAGAAUCCCGUGCGAUGAGAUGCCCAAUCCUAUGUAAGGUGCUUUCGAAGAGUCGAGUUGUUUGGGAAUGCAGCUCUAAGUGGGUGGUAAAUUCCAUCUAAAGCUAAAUAUUGGCGAGAGACCGAUAGCGAACAAGUACAGUGAUGGAAAGAUGAAAAGAACUUUGAAAAGAGAGUGAAAAAGUACGUGAAAUUGUUGAAAGGGAAGGGUUUGAGAUCAGACUCGAUAUUUUGUGAGCCUUGCCUUCGUGGCGGGGUGACCCGCAGCUUAUCGGGCCAGCAUCGGUUUGGGCGGUAGGAUAAUGGCGUAGGAAUGUGACUUUGCUUCGGUGAAGUGUUAUAGCCUGCGUUGAUGCUGCCUGCCUAGACCGAGGACUGCGAUUUUAUCAAGGAUGCUGGCAUA